GACGAACGCUGGCGGCGUGCUUAACACAUGCAAGUCGAACGGAAAGGCCCUUCGGGGUACUCGAGUGGCGAACGGGUGAGUAACACGUGGGUGAUCUGCCCUGCACUUUGGGAUAAGCCUGGGGAACUGGGUCUAAUACCGAAUAUGAUCAUCGGCUUCAUGGUCGGUGGUGGAAAGCUUUUGCGGUGUGGGAUGGGCCCGCGGCCUAUCAGCUUGUUGGUGGGGUAAUGGCCUACCAAGGCGACGACGGGUAGCCGGCCUGAGAGGGUGACCGGCCACACUGGGACUGAGAUACGGCCCAGACUCCUACGGGAGGCAGCAGUGGGGAAUAUUGCACAAUGGGCGCAAGCCUGAUGCAGCGACGCCGCGUGAGGGAUGACGGCCUUCGGGUUGUAAACCUCUUUCAGCACAGACGAAGCGCAAGUGACGGUAUGUGCAGAAGAAGGACCGGCCAACUACGUG
RNAcentral lists this ribosomal RNA (462 nucleotides) under uncultured bacterium. Its description in RNAcentral is "partial 16S ribosomal RNA". It matches the Rfam family "Bacterial small subunit ribosomal RNA", at positions 28 to 507 of the family's 1533-position model. The record is from RNAcentral.